RNAcentral lists this long non-coding RNA (221 nucleotides) under Panax ginseng (ginseng). RNAcentral's name for it is "long non-coding RNA (PGIN_LNC010946)". Lineage: Eukaryota; Viridiplantae; Streptophyta; Magnoliopsida; Apiales; Araliaceae. The record is from RNAcentral.
UGAAAUAAAAAUUUCUAUGAACCUUCUUCCUUAUUAUGAAUCAGUAAUCAUAUUACUCACACUACAAACUCUAAUUAGAAGUUGUUCUACGCGAUUUGGCACAUUUUAGCCUUGCGCCAUACCUGGAAUUCAUGAGCGCUCUAGAAAACCUGUCUUGUUUUCAUAAGAGGCGGCCCCACCUCUACACUCAUAUAGGUGUUUCCAUCAAAUGUGUUCUACAG